This is a long non-coding RNA of Pelmatolapia mariae (spotted tilapia), 676 nucleotides long. RefSeq lists it as uncharacterized. The record is from RefSeq and is a predicted model, not a curated record. The transcript has 4 exons. Lineage: Eukaryota; Metazoa; Chordata; Actinopteri; Cichliformes; Cichlidae.
UGUAACUAACAGUGGUAACCCGAUGAAACCCAUUGAUUCUGUGGUUGAACGGUUGGGCUAAAUGUUGAGGUGGGAGGUGUCUGCGUAGGAUUGUUAGAAACUACAGAUUUUUUUGGCAUAACGAUUGUGACGCCUCGUUUAAUCGUACCGCCAAUCACAAGAAACCAGCGGAAGUCUCCUUCAUUAAAGAAACAGUUGAAGUUUGAUAGAUAACAGUGAGAAAACAUCGGGUGUUGUAGCUGCAUGGAACGUUCGUUGCUUUCAUAAUACAAACAUAAUAUUAACCUGUCACACAUCUAUCACAAGAAACCAGCGGAAGUGACGCUGUCUGUUCGAGUCUUUUAUGGAAAGAGAGAGAGACUGUUGCUCUGCCAGCCCAUCAUGACCCUCACCAUCGUCAUGUGUGGACCAACAACACCUGGUGGACUGCAAAGCUACUGCAGCCCACACCCUGCACCUGUGUGACAGCAGUGUCCAUAGCAACAUCUCCUUAGCAACCACAUUCCUUUCUUAUCUGCUCAUUCCGAAGGUGGGACCAUGAGACAUAAAACAAAGUGACGGAUGUAUGACAGUGUCUUUGUUUUUUAUGUAACUACCUUCUCUCCUAACAUUGGAGAGGCGUCUUUCUACCAUGUCUGUCCAUAAAUGAAGAUAAAGUCUGUGAAAUAAAUAAAUG